Bifidobacterium adolescentis ATCC 15703 is the source of this 49-nucleotide regulatory RNA element. It matches the Rfam family "L31-Actinobacteria ribosomal protein leader". Lineage: Bacteria; Bacillati; Actinomycetota; Actinomycetes; Bifidobacteriales; Bifidobacteriaceae. The record is from Rfam.
AAGGUUAUCCGGUUCACGCCUUGCCAUCGGGGCAAUGCGACCCGGGUCC